Molecule: ribosomal RNA, 277 nt
Filed under: uncultured Eubacteriales bacterium
Lineage: Bacteria; Bacillati; Bacillota; Clostridia; Eubacteriales
Description: uncultured Clostridiales bacterium partial 16S ribosomal RNA
Rfam family: Bacterial small subunit ribosomal RNA
Source: RNAcentral
AAAGAUUCUUCGGAUGAUUUCCUAUUUGACUGAGCGGCGGACGGGUGAGUAACGCGUGGGUAACCUGCCUCAUACAGGGGGAUAACAGUUAGAAAUGACUGCUAAUACCGCAUAAGCGCACAGGACCGCAUGGUCCGGUGUGAAAAACUCUGGUGGUGUGAGAUGGACCCGCGUUUGAUUAGCUAGUUGGUGGGGUAACGGCCUACCAAGACGACGAUCAGUAGCCGGACUGAGAGGUUGAACGGCCACAUUGGGACUGAGACACGGCCCAGACUCC